CAUGUCUUUUUGUAAUUUAUUUUAAGUCUGGUCUGCUCGAUGAUACAUUAAAUUGCCGCAGUAUUUUAACUGUGCAAAGGUAGCAUAAUAAUUAGUCUCUUAAUUAGGGACUUGUAUGAAAGGUUGAACAAGAGAAUAUCUGUCUCUGUUAAAAUUUUAAUUGAAAUUUAUUUUUAAAUUAAAAAGUUUAAAUAUAUUUAAAAGACGAGAAGACCCUAUAGAGUUUUAUAUUAAUAUGGUUUAGAUUUUGGGAAUUAUAAACUUCUUUAGUAUUUGGUUGGGGUGACUUAUGGAUUAAUAAAAUUCUUUAAUUUGUUGAGUUAAUGAUAAUUAAUUUUUGAUUCUAAUUAUUUUAAGAUUAAAAUAAAUUACCUUAGGGAUAACAGCGUAAUUUUUUUUUAAAGUUCAAAUUGAAAGAAAAGAUUGCGACCUCGAUGUUGGAUUAAAAUUAAUUUUUGGCGAAGUAGCUUUAGGAUUAGGUCUGUUCGACCUUUAAAAUUUUACAUGAUCUGAGUUUAGACCGGCGUGAGCCAGGUUAGAUUCUAUCUUUAAGUUUAUAUCUUAUUUUAGUACGAAAGGACCAAUUAGGAAUUAUAAUAUUAA
Molecule: ribosomal RNA, 603 nt
Filed under: Dilophotes sp. D LB-2014
Lineage: Eukaryota; Metazoa; Arthropoda; Insecta; Coleoptera; Lycidae
Description: partial 16S ribosomal RNA
Rfam family: Bacterial large subunit ribosomal RNA
Source: RNAcentral